This 467-nucleotide ribosomal RNA is filed under the name uncultured bacterium. RNAcentral's name for it is "partial 16S ribosomal RNA". It matches the Rfam family "Bacterial small subunit ribosomal RNA", at positions 29 to 507 of the family's 1533-position model. The record is from RNAcentral.
ACGAACGCUGGCGGCGUGCUUAACACAUGCAAGUCGCACGGAAAGGCCCUGCUUUUGUGGGGUGCUCGAGUGGCGAACGGGUGAGUAACACGUGAGUAACCUGCCCUUGACUUUGGGAUAACUUCAGGAAACUGGGGCUAAUACCGGAUAGGAGCUCCUGCUGCAUGGUGGGGGUUGGAAAGUUUCGGCGGUUGGGGAUGGACUCGCGGCUUAUCAGCCUGUUGGUGGGGUAGUGGCUUACCAAGGCUUUGACGGGUAGCCGGCCUGAGAGGGUGACCGGCCACAUUGGGACUGAGAUACGGCCCAGACUCCUACGGGAGGCAGCAGUGGGGAAUAUUGCACAAUGGGCGGAAGCCUGAUGCAGCAACGCCGCGUGCGGGAUGACGGCCUUCGGGUUGUAAACCGCUUUCGCCUGUGACGAAGCGUGAGUGACGGUAAUGGGUAAAGAAGCACCGGCUAACUACGUG